This 503-nucleotide ribosomal RNA is filed under the name uncultured bacterium. RNAcentral describes it as "partial 16S ribosomal RNA". It matches the Rfam family "Bacterial small subunit ribosomal RNA", at positions 30 to 523 of the family's 1533-position model. The record is from RNAcentral.
AUUGAACGCUGGCGGCAGGCUUAACACAUGCAAGUCGAACGGGGUGAUGGUGCUUGCACUAUCACUUAGCGGCGGACGGGUGAGUAAUGCUUAGGAAUCUGCCUAUUAGUGGGGGACAACAUCUCGAAAGGGAUGCUAAUACCGCAUACGUCCUACGGGAGAAAGCAGGGGAUCACUUGUGACCUUGCGCUAAUAGAUGAGCCUAAGUCGGAUUAGCUAGUUGGUGGGGUAAAGGCCUACCAAGGCGACGAUCUGUAGCGGGUCUGAGAGGAUGAUCCGCCACACUGGGACUGAGACACGGCCCAGACUCCUACGGGAGGCAGCAGUGGGGAAUAUUGGACAAUGGGGGGAACCCUGAUCCAGUCAUGCCGCGUGUGUGAAGAAGGCCUUAUGGUUGUAAAGCACUUUAAGCGAGGAGGAGGCUCUUUUGGUUAAUACCCAAGAUGAGUGGACGUUACUCGCAGAAUAAGCACCGGCUAACUCUAUGCCAGCAGCCGCCGCCG